This 466-nucleotide ribosomal RNA is filed under the name uncultured bacterium. RNAcentral's name for it is "partial 16S ribosomal RNA". It matches the Rfam family "Bacterial small subunit ribosomal RNA", at positions 29 to 507 of the family's 1533-position model. The record is from RNAcentral.
ACGCACGCUGGCGGCGUGCUUCACCCCUGCCAGUCGAACGAUGACGACCGAGCUUGCUCGGUCUGAUUAGUGGCGAACGGGUGAGUAACACGUGAGCAACCUGCCCUUCACUCUGGGAUAACCUCGGGAAAUCGGGGCUAAUACCGGAUAUGAGCUCCUGUCGCAUGGCGGGUGUUGGAAAGUUUUUCGGUGAAGGAUGGGCUCGCGGCCUAUCAGUUUGUUGGUGAGGUAGUGGCUCACCAAGGCGAUGACGGGUAGCCGGCCUGAGAGGGCGACCGGCCACACUGGGACUGAGACACGGCCCAGACUCCUACGGGAGGCAGCAGUGGGGAAUAUUGCACAAUGGGCGAAAGCCUGAUGCAGCGACGCCGCGUGAGGGAUGACGGCCUUCGGGUUGUAAACCUCUUUCAGCAGGGAAGAAGCGAAAGUGACGGUACCUGCAGAAGAAGCGCCGGCUAACUACGUG